Molecule: non-coding RNA, 97 nt
Organism: Glossina morsitans morsitans
Lineage: Eukaryota; Metazoa; Arthropoda; Insecta; Diptera; Glossinidae
Source: Rfam
AAGUGGGGGUAGUUUAUAGUACGUAAGCGCCAUGGAUGGCGAAUCGUGCAUGUUGCUACUAAGAACCAUCACUAUGUUUUGAAGAUUUUCUACUUCC